This 1436-nucleotide ribosomal RNA is filed under the name uncultured organism. RNAcentral describes it as "SSU rRNA". It matches the Rfam family "Bacterial small subunit ribosomal RNA". The record is from RNAcentral.
ACGCUAGCUACAGGCUUAACACAUGCAAGUCGAGGGGCAGCAUUUUAGUUUGCUUGCAAACUGAAGAUGGCGACCGGCGCACGGGUGAGUAACACGUAUCCAACCUGCCGAUAACUCCGGGAUAGCCUUUCGAAAGAAAGAUUAAUACCGGAUAGCAUACGAAUAUCGCAUGAUAUUUUUAUUAAAGAAUUUCGGUUAUCGAUGGGGAUGCGUUCCAUUAGUUUGUUGGCGGGGUAACGGCCCACCAAGACUACGAUGGAUAGGGGUUCUGAGAGGAAGGUCCCCCACAUUGGAACUGAGACACGGUCCAAACUCCUACGGGAGGCAGCAGUGAGGAAUAUUGGUCAAUGGGCGAGAGCCUGAACCAGCCAAGUAGCGUGAAGGAUGAAGGCUCUAUGGGUCGUAAACUUCUUUUAUAUGGGAAUAAAGUUUUCCACGUGUGGAAUUUUGUAUGUACCAUAUGAAUAAGGAUCGGCUAACUCCGUGCCAGCAGCCGCGGUAAUACGGAGGAUCCGAGCGUUAUCCGGAUUUAUUGGGUUUAAAGGGAGCGUAGGUGGAUUGUUAAGUCAGUUGUGAAAGUUUGCGGCUCAACCGUAAAAUUGCAGUUGAAACUGGCAGUCUUGAGUACAGUAGAGGUGGGCGGAAUUCGUGGUGUAGCGGUGAAAUGCUUAGAUAUCACGAAGAACUCCGAUUGCGAAGGCAGCUCACUAGACUGUCACUGACACUGAUGCUCGAAAGUGUGGGUAUCAAACAGGAUUAGACACCCUGGUAGUCCACACAGUAAACGAUGAAUACUCGCUGUUUGCGAUAUACAGUAAGCGGCCAAGCGAAAGCAUUAAGUAUUCCACCUGGGGAGUACGCCGGCAACGGUGAAACUCAAAGGAAUUGACGGGGGCCCGCACAAGCGGAGGAACAUGUGGUUUAAUUCGAUGAUACGCGAGGAACCUUACCCGGGCUUAAAUUGCAACAGAAUAUAUUGGAAACAGUAUAGCCGUAAGGCUGUUGUGAAGGUGCUGCAUGGUUGUCGUCAGCUCGUGCCGUGAGGUGUCGGCUUAAGUGCCAUAACGAGCGCAACCCUUAUCUUUAGUUACUAACAGGUUAUGCUGAGGACUCUAGAGAGACUGCCGUCGUAAGAUGUGAGGAAGGUGGGGAUGACGUCAAAUCAGCACGGCCCUUACGUCCGGGGCUACACACGUGUUACAAUGGGGGGUACAGAAGGCGGCUACCUGGUGACAGGAUGCUAAUCCCAAAAACCUCUCUCAGUUCGGAUCGAAGUCUGCAACCCGACUUCGUGAAGCUGGAUUCGCUAGUAAUCGCGCAUCAGCCAUGGCGCGGUGAAUACGUUCCCGGGCCUUGUACACACCGCCCGUCAAGCCAUGAAAGCCGGGGGUACCUGAAGUACGUAACCGCAAGGAGCGUCCUAGGGUAAAACUGAU